AUUUUAUUUUACUUUUUUGGUGGGGAGGGUAAGGUUAGUAAUGUGAAAGGUAUGGUUUUUGUCCAGGCUUCUCUUCUUCCCUAUUUCUCAAAAUAACCCUUUAGUUUAUUUGGUUUUCUGUCUCUACGUUAUAUUUUCUAGAAUAUAUAUAUAUAUAUACACACACACACACACACACAUAUAUAUACAUAUAUAUAUACACACACACAUAUAUAGUGGGAUUGGUGGACCCAAGUGUAUACAUUUUAAUUCUUAAUUCUACAUCUAGCCUUUUAUUUACUCUGAGACAUAUUCUUGCUCUGUUGCCCAGGCUGGACUCAAACUCAAAAUUCUCCUGCCUCCGUCUCUGGAGUGAUGGAUCACAGUUGUAUGCUGCCACUGUUUGCACUCUAACUGUGUAGUUGUUAAGCUGCUUAUUGGUAUGCUGGUGUCUGACUGCUCAUUUCCUGGACACAGUGCUGUUAUAAUUAGCUGUAGUUCCUGUUGCUCUUUAAUCCUGGUAGCUUAAUUCUAACUUGCUAUUUUUCCGUCAGAGAAGGCACAAGACUAGUUUCCAGUAUAGAACUGUAUUUACUUCCAAUCAGGUCAAAUAUAUAUAUAUUUGUUUGUUUGUUUGUUUGUUUUGUUUUGUUUUGUUUGUUUGUUUUUGAGACAGGGUUUCUCUGUAUAGCCCUGGCUGUCCUGGAACUCACUCUGUAGACCAGACUGACCUCGAACUCAGAAAUCCACCUGCCUCUGCCUCCUGAGUGCUGGGAUUAAAGGCGUGCGCCACCAUGCCCGGCGGGUCAAAUAUUUAAAACUACCUCUUUUUGAAUGAUUAUUGAUGAAUUGUGAAUUAUGCUGCUAGUCCUGCGGUCCCUUCAUGAGGGUCCUCCCCAUGAGGCACCUCACAGGUACAGGGCCCAGCCAAGAGGCCAAAUGAUUGCCUAAAGUGUGCUUUCAUUCUCCAAAUAAUUCACCUCAUCCAAAAUCCCACUUCCUAUAUUUUCUAAACCACGGCCACGUUGUGUGCAUCCGUUCUAUGGUUCGUUUGAUUGCUUUGACAAGCUCAGGACCUAGCAUCCCAAAGCUAACAGAACCCAACCGUUAGGAUAUUCUGAAUGGAAGGUCACUUGUGCUGAUGGCUUUUAUUUUCCUCCCACCCCCAUUUGGUUGGGAUUGUAGCUCUUGAUACCGCACCCCCAACACACACACAGACACCCGGACCAUAGCUAACACAGAGGUAAAGGAGCUGAAACACGUUUUUCUCUGUGUGACACACUGGAAAACUGAUGAAGCUCCAAAGCUUGAUAGGGAUUUUGAUAUCAGAUGUAUUAUCCUGGGUCAUGUUCGUGAGACUGGCUCAGACUCUGCAUUUGACUUUGAGUCGAACCACAGAGUGGCCCAGAGUGACUCUCUGCUUCUAGCCAGCCUGUCUGACACACUGGCUGGCCCUCCUCACCACAAUCUGACCUCAUGCUGGUGAGGGGAAUUUUUACCUGGCUGGCCCCCAGGACAGGGCAUGGGCCAUGGCAGCAUCCUGUCGCAGUUCUGUUGUUCAGAGGUGGAUCCCACUGCAGGAAACUAGAGUUUCCCAUCAAUGUCUUUCUUCUCAGUUUUAUGGAAAUAACCUUUCCUUAAUGGAACUGUAAUCCUACAAGGACAGGUGGGACCAUGUACUCUUGCUCUCCUGUGGGUCUCACAGUAACAGGGCGGCUGAAGGCAUGGCUGUGGUUGCCUUUGCCUUCCUUUAGAGCAGGCUUCCAGGAAAGCACUGUGAGUAAGCAGCAGGUAACAGUUCCUACUUGGUGUUUGAGAUCUGAAGAUAACGUGGCAAGCAAGAGGCUAAGCCAGUUCCUUUCUUAGUUUAGAGAGACAUUUCUUGACUCUGCCUCCAGGUGACCUCCUCUAGGUCUGAUAACAACCAGCCUUUGGGGUUUGAGAACAUUCUUGUUUUUUGUUUUUGGCAACUUGAAAAAAGUACCCAGAGCCUUUGCAUGUUAAGCAAGAACUCUUCUGCCUAGACAAGCAACUGUGCAACACACACAGACACAAGCAAGCAGCUCAACCUAAGCAUGCUGCAUUCCAAAUGCCUUUAAGAAGCCCACAAGUUGGGAACAUACCAGAGGAAUGACUGAACUGCGUUAGAAUUGCAUGUUAGUCUACGUGAUGGAAGAAGGCAUGGAGUCUUCUCUAAUAAAACUGCUCAUGGAAGACUUUGCAUGAAUUCCAGGCUUCCAGAGGGUUCAAACCAGCAACCCAAGGUGGAUUUGGUUCCUGGGGAUGACAUAUUUAGGUAAAGAGAGCUUAAGAAUCAGUCUCUGAAAGUGUAAUUUACAGAAAGUGUUCUGGGACUGCUGUUGGUUCAGCCUGUUCACUCUCACUCUGUUCACUCUGGCCUGAUGCUCAUGAAGAGUUGACCUUUACCUUAGUCUCAGUUGCUGCUUUUACUUGGUAUCCUGCUGUGUCUACAUCCUUGCUGCUUCUAACUUGUCUGCUUUCAACACUGUUCGCCUUUAAAAUUCAUUCCUUUUCAUUUCCUGUCUGAUAGAGUAUAUGGUUCAGUAGAUGGCUGUAAAGCUGAGGGCUCUGCAUUCUGGGAGACCCUGCUCAUGUGUGCUGCUUCUGUGUGUUCUCUGCCAGUGGGCAGAGCACCCAGGCUCUCUGAGCCUGCUGGUUGGGUCUGAAUGAUAUCUAUUGAUAGAAGCUUUAAGGCAGUGUACAUAUAGUUCCACUCAAAAACCCAGUGCAGUGCCUGGCAUAUGGGUGACAUUUAGCAGUACUGUGAAUGAUGGUGGGGAUAGCCCAGUGCUGGAUUCAUGGGCAUAAACCCUUAUGUGUCAUCCCAUAACACUAAGAAUUGGUGAGACACGACUGUACAGACGAGGAAAGUAAGGUUUAUUUGCCUGUUCUCCUCUCUUCAAGUUACUGAAAACAUGGCUUAUGGCUAGAUAAGCCUCAUGGCUAGAUCACUGCUAAAGAGUCCUGACAACCAAAUUAAAUUAUUCUUGCCAAAACACAAAAUACAGAUAUCCAUGUGAAUGUAAUACAUUCCCUUACAUAUUUUAAUCCAGCGUUAUCUCGGAAGCAGUGUGCAUAAGUAGAGAACAGUAUUGAAUCUAUAUUGUAUUCUUUGACUGUACUUAUUUUUUUUUAUUUGGGAUAAGGUCUUACCAUAUAACCCCAGCUGGCCUUGAACUUACCAUAUAGACCAGUCUGGCCUUGAACUCACAGAGAUUUGCCUGCCUCAGCCUCCUCCAACUCUGAGAUUAAAGGCCAAACUUGCCACCAUUCCUGGCUUGUAAGUUACUUCUUAAGUGUUGUUACUAAAAUUUUUAAAUUUAAGGUUAUGGUGUAGGAUAGUUUAUCUUGGAUGCAUGACAUAUUUAAAAAUAUUUAUAUAUUCUCUUAAUAGUUUUUAGAAGGUAUACCGGACUCCAAAAUAUAACUGCUUAUUUAAAUAUAAAAACAGAUUUAUUGUUCCAUAAGCUUAAAAAUUAAAGUCUCAGGAAAAGAUACCAAACUUGGCUUUUACCUAUUUAUCUCAUUUAUACCCAGAAUAUUCACUGGCCAGCAAACUCUGUAGAGCAGUGAUUCUCAACCUGUGGGUCACAACCUAUCCUGCUUAUCAGAUAGUUACAUUAUGAAUUGUAACAGCAGCAAAAUCACAGUUACGCAAUAUCAACAAAAUAAUUUUAUGGUUGAGGGUCACCAUAACGUGAGGAACUGCAUUAAAGGGUCACAGAUUUAGGCAGGUUGAGAGCUAUAGCCACAUAGAGCCUUUACAGGGUUCAUUCUCGUUGUUUCUAUAGAAAACGUUUAUAUUAGAUAACUUUCUCACAGACUUGGUUAUAUUUCCAAGAGAUAGCUGUUUUAUAAUCCCUACUCUAAAACAAUUAAGAUUUUUCUAGAAAGUUGAUUAUUCACGUGUAAAGAGAUAAAAUUCUAGGAUAUUUCAUUUGUAUAUGC
Molecule: long non-coding RNA, 3948 nt
Filed under: Mus musculus (house mouse)
Lineage: Eukaryota; Metazoa; Chordata; Mammalia; Rodentia; Muridae
Description: long non-coding RNA chr8:18862195-18866143
Source: RNAcentral